This 750-nucleotide ribosomal RNA is filed under the name uncultured bacterium. RNAcentral's name for it is "bacterial SSU rRNA". It matches the Rfam family "Bacterial small subunit ribosomal RNA", at positions 743 to 1504 of the family's 1533-position model. The record is from RNAcentral.
ACGCUAAAGCUCGAAGGUGCGGGUAUCGAACAGGAUUAGAUACCCUGGUAGUCCGCACGGUAAACGAUGGAUGCCCGCUGUUUGCGAUAUACUGUGAGCGGCCAAGAGAAAUCGUUAAAGCAUCCCACCUGGGGAGUACGCCGGCAACGGUGAAACUCAAAGGAAUUGACGGGGGCCCGCACAAGCGGAGGAACAUGUGGUUUAAUUCGAUGAUACGCGAGGAACCUUACCCGGGCUUGAACUGCCAGCGAACGAUUCAGAGAUGAUGAGGCCCUUCGGGGCGCUGGUGGAGGUGCUGCAUGGUUGUCGUCAGCUCGUGCCGUGAGGUGUCGGCUUAAGUGCCAUAACGAGCGCAACCCUUUUCUUUAGUUGCCAUCAGGUAAUGCUGGGCACUCUGGAGAUACUGCCACCGUAAGGUGUGAGGAAGGUGGGGAUGACGUCAAAUCAGCACGGCCCUUACGUCCGGGGCUACACACGUGUUACAAUGGGGGGUACAGAGAGUCGGAUAUACGCAAGUAUGUUCUAAUCCUUAAAGCCUUCCUCAGUUCGGAUUGGGGUCUGCAACCCGACCCCAUGAAGCUGGAUUCGCUAGUAAUCGCGCAUCAGCCAUGGCGCGGUGAAUACGUUCCCGGGCCUUGUACACACCGCCCGUCAAGCCAUGAAAGCCGGGGGCGCUUGAAGUCCGUGACCGCAAGGAUCGGCCUAGAGCGAAACUGGUAAUUGGGGCUAAGUCGUAACAAGGUAACCGUA